This 494-nucleotide ribosomal RNA is filed under the name uncultured marine eukaryote. RNAcentral's name for it is "bacterial SSU rRNA". It matches the Rfam family "Eukaryotic small subunit ribosomal RNA", at positions 615 to 1111 of the family's 1831-position model. The record is from RNAcentral.
GCGGUUAAAAAGCUCGUAGUUGGAUUUCUGUUGAGGACGGCCGGUCCGCACUAUGUGCGUGUAUCUGGUUCGGCCUCGGCAUCCUCUUGAGGAACGUUUCUGCGCUUGAUUGCGUGGAGCGGUAUUCAAGACUUUUACUUUGAGGAAAUUAGAGUGUUCACGGCAGGCAAGCGCCUUGAAUAUUCGUGCAUGGAAUAAUGGAAUAGGAACUCGUUUCUAUUUUGUUGGUUUUCGGAAAUCGAGUUAAUGAUUAACAGGGACAAUUGGGGGCAUUAGUAUUCAGACGACAGAGGUGAAAUUCUUGGACCGUCUGAAGACUGACUACUGCGAAAGCAUUUGCCAAGAGUGUUUUCAUUAAUCAAGAACGAAAGUUAGAGGUUCGAAGGCGAUCAGAUACCGCCCUAGUUCUAACCAUAAACGAUGCCAGCUAGCGAUCUGCCGAGUUUUUUUUGUAAGGCUCCGCAGGAAGCUUUCGGGAAACCAAAGCUUUUGGG